Molecule: ribosomal RNA, 253 nt
Filed under: uncultured bacterium
Lineage: Bacteria
Description: partial 16S ribosomal RNA
Rfam family: Bacterial small subunit ribosomal RNA
Source: RNAcentral
UACGUAGGGUGCGAGCGUUAAUCGGAAUUACUGGGCGUAAAGAGUGCGUAGGCGGUUCUUUGUGUCCGCAGUGAAAGCCCCGGGCUUAACCUGGGAAUGGCAGUGGAAACUAGAGAACUUGAAUCUGGCAGAGGGGGGUGGAAUGCCACGUGUAGCAGUGAAAUGCGUAGAUAUGUGGCGGAACACCGAUGGCGAAGGCAAUCCCCUGGGCCUGCACUGACGCUCAUGCACGAAAGCGUGGGGAGCAAACAGG